Molecule: small RNA, 24 nt
Filed under: Arabidopsis thaliana (thale cress)
Lineage: Eukaryota; Viridiplantae; Streptophyta; Magnoliopsida; Brassicales; Brassicaceae
Description: ATSL282570
Source: RNAcentral
UGGUAUUUGUAGAAGUCUUUGUUU